This is a long non-coding RNA of Triplophysa rosa, 1233 nucleotides long. RefSeq lists it as uncharacterized. The record is from RefSeq and is a predicted model, not a curated record. NCBI's taxonomy places the organism in Eukaryota, Metazoa, Chordata, Actinopteri, Cypriniformes, Nemacheilidae. The transcript is spliced from 3 exons.
GGGCUAUGUCAUUGGUAGCGUGUGGUAGCUAAUGUUAGCGUCUCUGUGUAGAACGGCACGUUAGGAGAAACCUUGUGGCUGACAUUUGGUUGGCGUUGACCCUCUUCAGGCGGAAGCUUGAGUGAGCUGGAGUCGAGCUUGGGUGUCUGUUGAUAUUCCAGAUGUCUUGGGGGUUGGCUGCGUACACAGUCUCCCAACAAAACAGAUCGAGUUGUCCUCCGCACACUGGUGUGAUUACCCGAUCGGCCAAGUUACGAGAUCGGAGGUGUACGAUUGUUUGAACGAGCCGCGACCGCCAGUGCAUUCAUCUGUUGGUUGCUUAUCUGGGGGUGGGGAGAUUCUACCCUUAUGGUAGGUGCUGUUAAACUUGCAUUAGGAUGUCGUAAUCUUGUCCAACCUGUCUAAUUAUUGACUGCAUUACUGACAGAUUGGUCGCGUCGCUACCAGUGAUUAUUCCUGCGCAUUGGAGCUACGUGGGAGUUAUCCGGGGGCGCUGUUGCUGCACCUUAAGUUAUUGUUAAUUUGUUUUUCUUUAUAGUUUAGCUUGUUGUAUUUGCUGUUUCUACUUUAUUAUUAUUAUUAUUAUUAUUAUUAUUAUUCUUUUUUUAUUUUACAUUGCUUUGUUGGCACUACUGUUUUCUUGUUUUUUUUAGUUGCUGCAGUUAACCACCUGUUACAUUGGCUAGCUCUGAUGGUGCUGCUGUAGUGGCAUGUUUUAUCUAAUUUGAUUCUAUUAUAUUGUUUUCUUUAUACUUGUUAUUUUGUAUUGUGUGAAGGUGCAUUAUUGUGAGCAGUAGAGCGCCUACUCGCUAUCUUGCACUGUAAUGCACAGUAAUUGCAGAGUGUCUGCACCCUUGAAACUUGUGCCAAAACCUAUUCCUAUCCAUUUUCUUACAGGAGCUGAGUACUGAAGGCGGGGCGGAGUUUGUGGUGUUGGUGUUCUCCCACGAGUGCUGUGGUGUGUUGGUGUGUUGGUGUGUGUGCGUGAGCAUGUGUAACCAGUGUGAGGUGUGGUGUGGCCUAUUGUGUCCUUAGUCCCUGCGGGCGUGCCUCAGCUCCUGUUCCUUUUGUUUUGGUUUGUUUAAAAGGGUUUGUUGGCCCAGGCUGCUUACUGUGGCAUUUUCUCAUUUUAGUUAUUUUUUUGUUGUUUAUCCUUUAUAUUUCUUUAUUUUCAGAUGAUGUUGGGUCAGAAUCUUUUAAAUAAAAGUAUAUAUAUUUCUACGCUCACGUCUC